This 1103-nucleotide long non-coding RNA is filed under the name Monodelphis domestica (gray short-tailed opossum). Its description in RNAcentral is "lncRNA (ENSMODG00000032584.2)". The record is from RNAcentral. Lineage: Eukaryota; Metazoa; Chordata; Mammalia; Didelphimorphia; Didelphidae.
GAGUGCUGAGGAAGGGGAUACACUGCUUGAGGUCAUGCGAGAAGGACUUAAUGGAGGGGAAACUGAGAUCCACAGACAGGAAGGAACCUGUUCCAAGUUCCAUCCGAAAUAAGCUUCUGGGUGAACUAGAACCUGUCUCCGAAUUUCCAGUGAGAAGAUUCCUCUGUCAUGCUUCCCUUUUGGUCAGUGCAACAUCCAACACAAACAAUAGGGUUGUUAAACGGGAAAAACUGUCAGGGCUCCUCAAUUCCUUCUCCACUGGACCUCCAAAGCAAUCAGGAGAAUAUUUUGGGAAGUCAUCAUACCCCUGCUGUCUGACAGAGUUGCAGUCUGGGUUGAUGAAAGCUGCAGAGCAGCCUUCAGAAAAUAUGAGGCACCUACUGAACCCCCUCUGUGUGACUUCUCCCUCAAAUUUCCCUUACUAAUGGAAUUGUUAUGAUUAUUGUUCUCUUCCCAAUACCAGAUAAAUUAGAUAAGAGAAAAUACUUAUGGGGUUAAUACUUUAACCCCCUUAGAAUAGUACCCAAAAAGAUUACAUUCACAGAAUUAAAACCCAAAGAUCACUACCCAUUACCUCUCCUUUCUUUCUCUCAGCAGAGGUACAUUCAGAGGUCCCAUACCCAUUGCAGGCCAAACAUCAAUCAUUCCUUUGAAACACAAGUUACAGACACACUUUACUGGUUUGUUAUGUUUACCAUAACCAGGCAACUUUUCCAGGUGCUUGAAUCAAACACAAGAAAAAUUCAGCUUGGAAAUUGAGGAAAAUUCCAAUUCUGAUCUGCUUUAAGUUACCCUCUAACCCUGUACCUAACUAUGAAAUGUUUUGUAACCCAUCUUCUAAGUAAUUGUGAUUAAUUGUGAAAGCUGAUCAAAAGCAACAAUGAUUCUCCUAGCUGGUCAUCCCAUAGGUCAGGGGGAACUAACUUCCAGAUCACCCUGUUUAUGUCAUUCAUCUAUUUCUGUUAUAGCAACAAUGUUUCCUUGACUAUCUCCUUAGCCUUUGCAUCUGUUGUAUGGAAACAUAUAUGUUGAGAAAUGAUUGUGUGCCAUAAAAGUAGGUACUCACUGAAAGUAUAAAAUAAAUGCAAACCCUGUGCAUGGCA